GACGAACGCUGGCGGCGUGCUUAACACAUGCAAGUCGAGCGGUAAGGCCCUUUCGGGGGUACACGAGCGGCGAACGGGUGAGUAACACGUGGGUGACCUGCCCUUAGCUCUGGGAUAAGCCUGGGAAACUGGGUCUAAUACCGGAUAUGACUCCAUGACGCAUGUUGUGGGGUGGAAAGCCUUGUGCGGCUAGGGAUGGGCCUGCGGCCUAUCAGCUUGUUGGUGGGGUGAUGGCCUACCAAGGCGACGACGGGUAGCCGGCCUGAGAGGGCGACCGGCCACACUGGGACUGAGACACGGCCCAGACUCCUACGGGAGGGCAGCAGUGGGGAAUCUUGCGCAAUGGGCGAAAGCCUGACGCAGCGACGCCGCGUGGGGA
Molecule: ribosomal RNA, 379 nt
Filed under: uncultured bacterium
Lineage: Bacteria
Description: bacterial SSU rRNA
Rfam family: Bacterial small subunit ribosomal RNA
Source: RNAcentral